CUUUCUGCUGACGUGGGGUUUAUGGAGUAUAAAUAAAGUGAGGCGGAGGCUCUGAGUGCGGCCGCCAUGUUCUCUGUGUGUCUUUGUCUUUUGUGUGUUCUUUCAUUCUCCACCACCCCCGGCACGGAUCCCAACAAGUGGCGCAGCGAGCAGGGUCAGCACGGCCCAUAUAUUAUACUGAAUUACCAGGUUCAGAGAGCAGACAAACAGAAGUUUAAAUAAGAAAUUACUUUCUGAUUGCUGGCAAGAUGGCCAAAUAGGAACAGCUCCGGUUUGCAGCUCCCAGCGAGACUGACACAGAAGGUUCCAUAAAAGCUGACUUUGUGCCUGAAAUAUUAGAAGUGAACUGUGAGUGCUUACUGAAUGAAUAGGUGAAUGGACAAAACCUCCUGCAAUACAGCUUUCUUACCAUGCCUCAAGAGACUCUUCAGUCCAUCCUGCUGUUGUUGUUGAUUGGUUCUCCCUGAGUGCUGACCCUAAGCCCAGAUUCAGAGAUUUCUCCAAGAAACAGCUUCUUUGAAAGACAUCAUUCCUAUUGUCAACCCUGUUGGCAUAGAAAUAAAAUGUAGACGUUGGACAAAGGCAA
Molecule: RNA transcript, 586 nt
Organism: Macaca mulatta (Rhesus monkey)
Lineage: Eukaryota; Metazoa; Chordata; Mammalia; Primates; Cercopithecidae
Gene: TSGA13
Gene name: testis specific 13
Source: RefSeq, a predicted model, not a curated record